CCUACGGGGGGCUGCAGUAGGGAAUAUUGCACAAUGGGCGAAAGCCUGAUGCAGCAACGCCGCGUGUGCGAUGAAGGCCUUCGGGUCGUAAAGCACUUUUCUGAGAGAUGAGAAAGGACCGUAUCUCAGGAAUAAGUCUCGGCUAACUACGUGCCAGCAGCCGCGGUAAAACGUAGGAGGCGAGCGUUAUCCGGAUUCACUGGGCGUAAAGCGCGUGCAGGCGGUUUGGUAAGUUGGGCGUGAACUCUCUUAGCUUAACUAGGAGAGGUCGUUAAAUACUACCAGGCUUGAGAGUGAUAGAGGAAGAUGGAAUUCCCGGUGUAGUGGCGAAAUGCGUAGAUAUCGGGAGGAACACCAGUGGCGAAAGCGAUCUUCUGGAUCAUUUCUGACGCUCAGACGCGAAAGCUAGGGUAGUAAACGGGAUUAGAUACCCGAGUAGUC
Molecule: ribosomal RNA, 441 nt
Filed under: uncultured bacterium
Lineage: Bacteria
Description: partial 16S ribosomal RNA
Rfam family: Bacterial small subunit ribosomal RNA
Source: RNAcentral